Long non-coding RNA from Sitophilus oryzae (rice weevil), 265 nucleotides. RefSeq lists it as uncharacterized. The transcript is spliced from 2 exons. Lineage: Eukaryota; Metazoa; Arthropoda; Insecta; Coleoptera; Curculionidae. The record is from RefSeq and is a predicted model, not a curated record.
CUUUCAGGCAAACAGUCAGUUAAACGCAAGUAUUUCUACAUCAAGCAAUGUAGAGAACAAGGGAGUAAAUCGCAAUAUCAUCUUCGACAGUAAAUGUAACCCUGGAUACAUACUUCUAAAUGGAAAGUGCAGACCAACAUUCCGGACUAAACGCUAAGCAAAAUAAUACAUAUAUACUGGGCAUCAAUAAAAAAUGGACUAAUUAUACGUGUAUAAAAAAUAUUGUAACAAUAGUAAAUGUGAAACUAAAAGAAUUUCGGACUUC